UGGUAGAUGCACCCUGAUGAACUCCUCCAGUUGGGGACAACUGGGGGAUUACUUU
Molecule: small RNA, 55 nt
Filed under: Roseofilum reptotaenium AO1-A
Lineage: Bacteria; Bacillati; Cyanobacteriota; Cyanophyceae; Desertifilales; Desertifilaceae
Description: Nitrogen stress-induced RNA 1
Rfam family: Nitrogen stress-induced RNA 1
Source: Rfam by way of RNAcentral